Molecule: ribosomal RNA, 440 nt
Filed under: uncultured bacterium
Lineage: Bacteria
Description: partial 16S ribosomal RNA
Rfam family: Bacterial small subunit ribosomal RNA
Source: RNAcentral
CCUACGGGGGGCAGCAGUGGGGGAUAUUGCACAAUGGGGGAAACCCUGAUGCAGCGACGCCGCGUGGGUGAAGAAGCGCCUCGGCGCGUAAAGCCCUGUCAGCAGGGAAGAAAAUGACGGUACCUGAAGAAGAAGCCCCGUCUAACUACGUGCCAGCAGCCGCGGCAAUACGUAGGGGGCAAGCGUUAUCCGGAUUUACUGGGUGUAAAGGGGGCGCAGACGGCGAUGCAAGCCAGUAGUGAAAGCCCGGGGCCCAACCCCGGGACUGCAGUUGGUACUGCGUGGCUAGAGUGCAGGAGGGGCAGGCGGAAUUCGUGGUGUAGCGGUGAAAUGCGUAGAUAUCACGAGGAACACCGGUGGCGAAGGCGGCCUGCUGGACUGCAACUGACGUUGAGGCCCGAAAGCGUGGGGAGCAAACAGGAUUAGAUACCCUUGUAGUC